This 468-nucleotide ribosomal RNA is filed under the name uncultured bacterium. RNAcentral's name for it is "partial 16S ribosomal RNA". It matches the Rfam family "Bacterial small subunit ribosomal RNA", at positions 28 to 507 of the family's 1533-position model. The record is from RNAcentral.
GACGAACGCUGGCGGCGUGCUUAACACACGCAAGUCGAACGGAAAGGCCCUGCUUUUGUGGGGUGCUCGAGUGGCGAACGGGUGAGUAACACGUGAGUAACCUGCCCUUGACUUUGGGAUAACUUCAGGAAACUGGGGCUAAUACCGGAUAGGAGCUCCUGCUGCAUGGUGGGGGUUGGAAAGUUUCGGCGGUUGGGGAUGGACUUGCGGCUUAUCAGCUUGUUGGUGGGGUAGUGGCUUACCAAGGCUUUGACGGGUAGCCGGCCUGAGAGGGUGACCGGCCACAUUGGGACUGAGAUACGGCCCAGACUCCUACGGGAGGCAGCAGUGGGGAAUAUUGCACAAUGGGCGGAAGCCUGAUGCAGCAACGCCGCGUGCGGGAUGACGGCCUUCGGGUUGUAAACCGCUUUCGCCUGUGACGAAGCGUGAGUGACGGUAAUGGGUAAAGAAGCACCGGCUAACUACGUG